Pseudophryne corroboree (corroboree frog) is the source of this 2149-nucleotide long non-coding RNA. RefSeq lists it as uncharacterized. The record is from RefSeq and is a predicted model, not a curated record. The transcript has 6 exons. Lineage: Eukaryota; Metazoa; Chordata; Amphibia; Anura; Myobatrachidae.
CACAGGCAGGGUGACCGGCUGCUGACUGGCUCCUCUCUCUUCCUGUAUCACUACUACUAGGGUGACUGCACAGCGCGCCGCUCACACAGGACAGGAGGCGGGGCCACUCAGCUCCAGUACCUGGCGUGCUCUGCCAAUCAGCUCAGCAGCUAUCACCAGCGGAGAGUCCGUGCUGCUGCUGGUGCUGCUGCCACCGCUGCCGCCUGAUAAGGACGGGGCAGGGAUGAUGCGUGUUUCCGAUAAUCUCUCAGAGUACCUGACCUACUUCCUGGCACGGUCUUUUCAGGACCAGUCUCCUGCCCCAUCUGGACCUGCGCCUGCCUCCUACCAACCCCCCUCACUUCAGAGUCUAUCGCCACAUAGAAAACAGCCAACAGCGAGAAAAACAAUGGACGGCUUGUAGAAAAUUAGGCUACAUAAAGAUCCUGAUCCCAGAUUCAGGUGCACUGUAGCUGUACUUUGAUAUUGAUGAAUACACCGCAGAUCAACAGAUAACACCCACUGUGAGACACAUACAGGAGCAGUGCAAAAUAACAUGUGUGGGAUGCAUUCAGCAUCCCAGCUGUUGGGAAGCUGGCGGUUACCGGAUCACCGACAGCUGGAAUCUCGUAGCUCUAAGUUUCUCAAGGGUGAAAUUCUGCUGAACGUCGUCUUGUCACCACCAUGCACCUGUCCAGACAACAGUCACUUAAACAAGCAAAAUAACAGCUGAGCAAUUCAGGACAGAUGCCUCCCUCAUUUCAAGACAUCUCCAAGACCUGUGCACUCUUCUCUUUAUAUGAAAAUAGCCUUAAAGAAACCAAAUGUAUUUAUGUUUCUACAUGAUGAUAGUAGUGAAAGCUUUACUAGUCCAUCUGCUGUUACUUAGGACAGAAGUACAGCUUCCAAAAUAAUAUUUUGCUUACUUAAUAUUAUGAAAUAAUAGGUAAUGAUAGCUUUAUGAAUCUAUAAGAUAUAUGGGAUAGUGUCUAGUGUAAUGGCAAGGCCUGUUGAAUAAAAUGUUUUAUUAAGGCAUAUUUACACAAUAAAGUGUGGGGCAAAAAGAUACUAAAUACAGUAUUUGAUUCACUAGUUAUAAAUAAGCCUGUGCUGACAGCCAUAGAGAGACAUGCUUCCAAGCACAGAAAGGAAAUAGUAUUACCAUUUGGUAACAUAGCACUCGUUCACAAGUAACUCAAAUAGUACAAAAUAAAUAACAUUAACACACUCAUAUUAGUGGAUGAGUAAACUAAUACAAUUGGUGUGUGUGUGUGUGUGUGUGUGUGUGUGUGUGUGUGUGUGUGGUGUGUGUGUGUGUGUGUGUGUGUCUUACCCUCUCCAUCACUUAAGUGACAUGAGAGUGUGCCUUUUAUACUCACUUUUCUGUCAAGGAUCUCCUGAGUGCCUGCACUCCACACUAAGGGCUCAGCAAGGUCCUGUACUUCACAAGCACUUGAGUAGCUUUCGCUCUUCAUUGCAGUCAAAGAACAACUUGCACUGUCAACUCAUUGCUUCUGCCACCCUAAGAUGAAGAUCACACUGCCUUGUAUGUCAACAGGAGUAUCAAGCAGGUCACAUGUUUAUGCAUCUCCAUGGUGUUGCAGUGGUCAUGGCCAGUGAUUCAGACCAUAUAAUGUAAAGAUGAAAAAUGUUUAAUCUGUGUUUGCAGCUGUGAAAGGGGAGGGCUGGAAAUGUCAUCUCACUCUGGGGUAAUCAAGGCACGUUACCUCCCUCCACCUGCACUGCAGGCCCUCUUGGGUUUAUUGUAUGCUAAUUUCUAGGUAUAAUACAAAAUAUCACAAUAAACUAUUGCUGUUGUAUGGAAAGACUGUAUUUUAAUCACCUUGGACGUAAUCUUUCUCUCAGUAUCUAAAGGCAUCCCCAUCUUCUAGAUCUGCUGUCCUGUGGUUGAUUUCUCAGCUCAGGCCUAAACAUCAAGCUACUGUAAUCAGUAUGAUCUGGCAGAUUUUAAUUAAAAUAUUUAACAUUACUCCAAAUUCACAUACAUCCCAUCAGAGUUGCACCAAUAUGUUGCUGAUUGUAUUAUUUCUUUUGUGUAUGCUAUAUCUGAGAAUAUAAAUUAUUAUCUUAGACGUCCUUAUAAAUAAUAAAGUAUUGUACAAAAUCAGCCAAGCACAAACAAAAUGAGACAAAAUUGAUGAUGAUUUGA